UACAGAGGUCUCAAGCGUUGUUCGGAUUCAUUGGGCGUAAAGAGCGUGUAGGCGGCCUGACAGGUCUGCUGUGAAAACUCGAGGCUCAACCUCGAGAUGUCGGCGGAAACCGUCUGGCUAGGGUCCGGAAGAGGAGAGUGGAAUUCCUGGUGUAGCGGUGAAAUGCGCAGAUAUCAGGAAGAACACCUAUGGCGAAGGCAGCUCUCUGGGACGGUACUGACGCUGAGACGCGAAAGCGUGGGGAGCGAACAGG
Molecule: ribosomal RNA, 253 nt
Filed under: uncultured bacterium
Lineage: Bacteria
Description: partial 16S ribosomal RNA
Rfam family: Bacterial small subunit ribosomal RNA
Source: RNAcentral